RNAcentral lists this ribosomal RNA (253 nucleotides) under uncultured bacterium. Its description in RNAcentral is "partial 16S ribosomal RNA". It matches the Rfam family "Bacterial small subunit ribosomal RNA", at positions 524 to 776 of the family's 1533-position model. The record is from RNAcentral.
UACGUAGGCAGCAAGCGUUGUUCGGAGUUACUGGGCGUAAAGGGUGCGUAGGCGGUUGUUUAAGUUUGGUGUGAAAUCUCCCGCUCAACUGGGAGGGUGCGCCGAAUACUGAAUGACUAGAGUGCGGGGAGAGGAGAGUGGAAUUCCUGGUGUAGCGGUGAAAUGCGUAGAUAUCAGGAGGAACACCGGUGGUGUAGACGGCUCUCUGGACCGUAACUGACGCUGAGGCACGAAAGCGUGGGUAGCAAACAGG